This 956-nucleotide non-coding RNA is filed under the name Pongo abelii (Sumatran orangutan). The record is from RNAcentral. Lineage: Eukaryota; Metazoa; Chordata; Mammalia; Primates; Hominidae.
UUUGGUAGAGAAGGGGCAGGGAACAGAACUUUCGCCCCCCCGCCUGAGCGCCUGGUAGACUAGAUAUCUUCCAAACAUUAUCUCAUUUACUUCCCUGGAGUUACAAAUAGGUAGAUUUCAUGUCCGUUGAGGGAUGAGAAAGCUGAAACUUUGAGACUUAAGAAUCCUGGCCGAGGUCAGCCUCCUCCGAAGCUUCAUCUCUUGCCACCACUUUCUGGUGCACACCUACGACAGAUUUCAAUCCCUGAGAUCCCAGGAUGAAACCUAUGUUUGCCAAAUACCAGCUACUGUGCCAGAAGAGAUCAUGGAACCAGGUGUGGCAACCUGCUUGAGAAGAGGAGCCAAAACAUCAUAGUUGAACCGUCCUGGAAUAGAAACUCGCCCUGAAUUCUUUCUUGUGUGAAAUCCAAGAACCCUCUCUUGGGGUCUGGAUCGGGACCCUGUUCCUGUAACAAGUCCACAAUGCCAGAGAAUUAAAGAGAACCACAAAGCUGAACCUCAAAAAGUUAGCCUGGUGAGGCUGGAGGAUGAUGAGAUUUCCCCUCUUGUCACAUAAACAAGGAAGUAAAGGAGGCCCCUUGUGCUCUCAGAACUCCAAGCAUGAAACAAUUGCAAAGGGAAAAACAGCUAAGUGUUUCCUGGCUGAAUUUUAUUUUGCUUUCAGUUUCUGCCAUUUCAGUUCCUGUUAUCAUGCUUCCAGGUGCACUGAACUGCAGCAAACCCAGGGGAUCCAAGGCUAUGUUGAAAAGCCUUUGACCGCAGUGCAGGGAGCAGAAGACAUUAAUGACGUGAUGUUGACGCAGCCCGCACUCAGGAUCCUCCAGAAAAAGAACACAGAGAUAACCCCAGAUCGAUGGUACUUUUUGAAAAUGCCUUACUGCAAAAGAGUGGCUAGGGUUUUACAAGGGCUGUGAAGAAACAUAUUAAGGUUAAUAAAGCUUUUUAUUGAGUGUUUA